GGCCAUAGAAACACUCGUCACCCCCACGCACUUUAAACUGGAGGAACCCGGACUCACACAGGCUCCCCUUAACUCAGUACAAUCAGUUAUCUCAUCUCCAGAUUUUGAAGUUCCUUCUGUUGGUGCCUUUUACCUAAGUCAGCAUGUUUCAAACAUUCAGAAAAAAAAAAACAACCUUAGAAAAUAAAAACCACUACUCCACCCAAAUGAUAAAAAUCUCUUAAAUUCUCCAAGCACAACAUCGUCGUCUCCUCUUAACUCAGCCCUCAGCAAGAGUUGAUUCCUUUGGGUUCUGGGGAAUGGCGGGCUCUGCCAGUCCCCACCUCACCAGCCUAAUAGUUUUUCCAGACUGACUCCUGCUUGGUGUUGCGGGACAGCUUGGAAGCCAACUCCGGGUCCCAUUCAUUCCUCUCGGUCCUCUAAGAUACAUUCAUUAAUGCUUUUUCCAGCCGGAGUCAAACUUACUGGGGGUUGGGGGGGGAGUUAACUCGGGCUGGGGAUAACCUGGAGCCUACUGCCGGGGAAGAUCCGGACGCAGACCGAAGCAAACCAACCAUUAAAAAAUGCAUCCAAUGGGAAUUUUUCCACUCCAGNNNNNNNNNNNNNNNNNNNNNNNNNNNNNNNNNNNNNNNNNNNNNNCUCGGGGCGCUUUCGGAAGGACCCCACCGUCGGGGGCGCGGACUAGGCUCCCAGCGCAUUGUUAGCAGAAGGGCGCCCUCACGGGCAGCGCUCCUCGGCCCUUUGCUCCUGGAGAGUUCCCGGCGCCCGCCCAGGGCCGGGACCGGAGGCACCCAGGGCCACCUACCCGCGCCUCCUAGGGUCAAACCCUUCGCACUUUACCUGGACCGGAUGGCCCAAGUGCCGGCGCUCGGUCAGAGCCGCCUAUGCAAUGCUACUCCGAGCACUGAGAAAGCCACAGCACCGCAGGACAUUCCCUCCACGCUGGUCAGCAGGUCUCCAGAGCGCAGCACGCAAGAUCGCCGCACAGACUCAGACUCCCCCCCCGGGUGA
RNAcentral lists this long non-coding RNA (1011 nucleotides) under Ursus maritimus (polar bear). RNAcentral's name for it is "lncRNA (ENSUMAG00000002902.1)". Lineage: Eukaryota; Metazoa; Chordata; Mammalia; Carnivora; Ursidae. The record is from RNAcentral.